GUUCUGCUGACACAACAUAUUCUUCCCAACCACCACCACCUCUUAUUGUGUGGGAACCUUCAGAAAGAGGAUGGGAGACUGGGGGAACCUUCAGAAAGACGACGAGCCAUAAAGGCUGCAGCAGGAGGGAGAAACUUUGCAUUGCUAGAGUGACAAGACACAGCCAAUAAUCUGCUGCUGCACUCCCACCACAGGAAACUAUUUGCCAUCCAUUUACACAAAGAUGUGCCAGGCCCAAAGGAUGGCCUGAAGGUGUCAGGUGUCAUUGCAUUUAUGAGGAUAAGCAAAUACAGAUGAGUGCUUUUGAACCCAGGUUGCCAAAUCAUGCUGCUGACUUGACAGGAUGCCCAUUAUUUUUGGAUAGCACAGCAGAAAGAAACGAACAGGACAUCUAAUCCAUAGCUGUCAGGGCUCUCUACUGAUCUCAGCCCAAUGUGGUAAAGCCAAAAAUUGAUAUCUUGCAGAAGGGAGUUUGCAGAACAUCAGAUCUUUCUGGUUAUCUUAAAGAUUACACCUAAUUACGGAACUCUAUUGUUGCCCAUUCUCUAGAUCUCUCAAGAAUCAGUUAUUAUGCAUCUUUUUAAUGGUCACACCUUGUUCUAGCAUUAAUUUCAGACCGCUUUUGGCUCAAUUUCAACAUUUCUUCCACUAUCCUACUUGGCUUACAUUUUUCUUUCUGAAUCGUUUUUUGCAAAUUCAUUUAAUUAUAGUUUAACAUUUUUCAUUUGUUUGACAUCUGAUCCAUUAAUAUGAUUGUUUUUUCUGUCCUAAAAGUCUUCUUAAGCUGUUGUUUCUUUAGCUCAUCUAAACCAUAUGUCCCACUUCUAAGUUUCAUUUUGGAUUUCAUCAUAGUCAUUGUCGGGUCAACAGAAAGAUUGACCUUUGUCAGAAAUAUUUUAUCACUUGAUGUUAAUAAUUAUUUGAUGUAAACAAUGGCCUUGUAUUGUCCUGUAUUCAAAUAUAUUGUGGGUUAAUUUAUCUACUGCCGUAUAUGUUAAAUGUGCUGUGCUAUUUCAUCAGCCUUAGGGUUUCAUUUGUUUAUUAAGGGUCUAUGUGUUUCAAGUCUUGAUUUUGUUUUUACAGUAUUAUUUUGUAUCCCAUUGCUUCUGUGUUGGAUCUGAUGUCUCAGUAAACUACUAUUAAUUUGUUUCAGUAAAAACUAGUGAUAAUGAUCCUUGAGUUCCUGCAAUUUUUGCAUGCCCAAUUAUGAUUUGCUACCUACCUGGUUCUAUUAAGCACUCAUAGUUAAGGAAAAGAGAGAACUCACCAUUUCACUUUUUGAAAGAAAAGACUUGAGAAAAAAAAACACAUUUCUCAUUUACUUUUUACAGAACAGUAUUAUUUAUAUGCAUGAAAGACAGUAAUUGAAUUUUUCUUUUUCUUUUUUUUCUUUUUAAGAUUUUUAUUUAAUAAGAAAAUAGAAAAGGGUGACAUGAUUGCAUUAACAUCUCUUGAGCUUCCAGCAGUUACAUAUGACAUAUUACAUAUGACAAUCUAAGAUUCCACUUGC
Molecule: long non-coding RNA, 1510 nt
Organism: Hemicordylus capensis (graceful crag lizard)
Lineage: Eukaryota; Metazoa; Chordata; Lepidosauria; Squamata; Cordylidae
Exons: 4
Source: RefSeq, a predicted model, not a curated record